GGGUUGUGUGCUUUCACAUAGCAGUACUGUACAAGGAAAACCCCGUCGGAUCUGUUAUUGCGGGAUACUUGUGAAAUAUACAUAGGAUUCUUUCUUAUGGCUGCAUCCCGGAUCUGGAAAUUUUACUUGGGGACCAAGAGGAUCUGAAAGGCUACAUGUACACAGAAGAUUUGCAAGCAAGACUCUGAUUCUUGUCAUAGAGCUCACAGACUUCCUCACUUACCGGCCUUUUUCCUUCCUUUUUUUUUUUUUUUUUUUUAAAUUUCUUCCCUCUUUUUCUGCUCUCUCCUCUCUCAGUUUCUCCUUUCCUGUCUGCCUCGUUUUUUUUUCUCCUGGUCUUCUUUUUUUUCCUGCUCUGCACCUGGAUUGUAUCUUCACCAAACAAUCGGGCACUUUGAGAACUAACUGGAGGCAGUCUUGUAGGGAAGAGCUGUAUGGAAUUAUCUGCUUUUAUGGUGAACUUGGCAUUUGUGAAUGGGUAUCUUGUUCACGAAAUUAAUUGCUAGCAAAAACAAGAAAAAGAACACAGGAGUAAAACGUGGAUUUUUCUGAAUACGCAUUGUGAUGACCAGCAAUUACCUUACCGACUGAUAUCCAGAGGAGAAUAAUUUGGAAGACUGUUGUGGAUUUGAGUCAAUUGAUUUCAGCUUCGCCACACGGAGUGUCACAUCCCUUAAAGUAGAGAAGGCAGAACUCCACCAGCGGGAAAUACAGAGGUCUUCUAUGAGCAAGUUUCUCCUACAAGAUCACAUUGAAAGUUAGUGGAAAGAAAAGGCCAUAUGUCUUAGGCUCUAAGGGGAUUUCAAGAGCUGCUUCAGAGAACUUUAAAACUUUCAAUAAUGUUUUAAAUACCUGGGGAAUAAAAACAAAAACUAAGAGUAACAAUGUUGGAGGAGGAGGCAGUGGAAAGGAACAGAGAAUAGGCGCAAAAGGAAAAAUAAAGACGAUUCCAAAGUGAAGUAAUACAGUACUGUUGCCUCCAACCUUUAUCUUGAAUAUUAAAAGAAUGAGGAUUGAAUAUUUGGGGGAAUCCCAGCAAAGCAAGAAGGGGUGAAGUUGCUGAGAAGGGCCAAUGCCAGUGGUAUGUGACUCCAGGACCUACUCAAAGAAGUUUGCAGGUCCAUUUGUAGAUCUUGAUCUACACAUCCUGAGACUCAAUAGUUAAUUUUACCCACUCAGAUAAAGGUUUUAUUUAUCUGAUUUUAACAGAUGCAAUAAAAGUUAUUUAAAUU
This 1232-nucleotide long non-coding RNA is filed under the name Equus asinus (donkey). RNAcentral describes it as "lncRNA (ENSEASG00005024319.1)". The record is from RNAcentral. Lineage: Eukaryota; Metazoa; Chordata; Mammalia; Perissodactyla; Equidae.